Molecule: non-coding RNA, 544 nt
Organism: Poecilia reticulata (guppy)
Lineage: Eukaryota; Metazoa; Chordata; Actinopteri; Cyprinodontiformes; Poeciliidae
Source: RefSeq, a predicted model, not a curated record
UCCUUAAUUUAUUCAAUACCAAGCAGGCGAGAUCAUUAUUGGUCUCGCGAUGUUUGAAUGUCAUGUGACAGCUGCACGUCAGCAUCCUAAAUUGACAGCUACGGCUUAUAUUGGUGCUGAAUCGCACCUUAGGUAGGAGACGCUGUCGGACUCUGACGUGCAGACAUAUGGUCACUCAUCUGUACGUUGAAACGAUCUCUGUCUGUCUGUCGAUGAGGAACUGGCCAGGUGUGUUCCAGAUCCCACCCCGCUCGGAGUAAACUGGAGGAUCUGGGACACAUUAAGAACUGUCUGGUUUAUGUACACUGACCGGACUGGCGAGCUAACCAUAGCGGAACCAGAAAUCCACCCAAUCUCUGAGGAACCGUCUCCAAACUGGUUGGAAAUUCAACCAACCAUCCACAGCGGGAACUAAAGGACUAUUUUGUUUUCUCUUUCAUCACCGAAAGAGACUUCCUUGUUUUAAGGAACCGGACUUCACAGUUGUGAAACACUUUGUAUAUAUUGUAAAUAUAAAUACACUUCGCUGAUUUUUUUCACCAUC